This 402-nucleotide ribosomal RNA is filed under the name Bacteroidota bacterium. RNAcentral's name for it is "Bacteroidetes bacterium partial 16S ribosomal RNA". It matches the Rfam family "Bacterial small subunit ribosomal RNA", at positions 355 to 776 of the family's 1533-position model. The record is from RNAcentral. Lineage: Bacteria; Pseudomonadati; Bacteroidota.
UGGGGAAUUUUGCACAAUGGGGGAAACCCUGAUGCAGCGACGCCGCGUGAUUUAGAAGGCCUUCGGGUUGUAAAAAUCUUUUGUAUAGGAAGAAAAUGACAGUACUAUACGAAUAAGGACCGGCUAAUUACGUGCCAGCAGCCGCGGUAAUACGUAAGGUCCGAGCGUUGUCCGGAAUCAUUUGGCGUAAAGGGUACGUAGGCGGGUAAGCAAGUUAGAAGUGAAAUCCUAUAGCUCAACUAUAGUAAGCUUUUAAAACUGCUCAUCUUGAGGUAUGGAAGGGAAAGUGGAAUUCCUAGUGUAGCGGUGAAAUGCGCAGAUAUUAGGAGGAAUACCGGUGGCGAAGGCGACUUUCUGGCCAUAACCUGACGCUGAGGUACGAAAGCGUGGGUAGCAAACAGG